CAGCCGCCGCGGGAAUACGUAGGGUGCGAGCGUUAAUCGGAAUUACUGGGCGUAAAGAGUGCGUAGGCGGUGCUCUAAGUCUGUCGUGAAAUCUCCCGGCUUAACUGGGAGGGUGCGGCGGAAACUGGAAUGCUCGAGUAUGGGAGAGGUAAGCGGAAUUCCUGGUGUAGCGGUGAAAUGCGUAGAUAUCAGGAGAAACACCUGUGGUGUAGACAGCUUACUGGACCAUGACUGACGCUGAGGCACGAAAGCGUGGGUAGCAAACAGGAUUAGAUACCCGUGUAGUCCCUGUCUCUUAUAC
RNAcentral lists this ribosomal RNA (301 nucleotides) under uncultured bacterium. Its description in RNAcentral is "partial 16S ribosomal RNA". It matches the Rfam family "Bacterial small subunit ribosomal RNA", at positions 509 to 807 of the family's 1533-position model. The record is from RNAcentral.